AUUUUGCAGAGCAGUGGCGUGCGGAGCGGCGGCGGACCACCUCCAGGGGCUAAGUGAUGGAUCUUGUACUCAGUGUUGCAGAUUACUAUUUUUUUACACCAUACAUGUAUCCAGCCACAUGGCCAGAAGAUGACAUCUUCCGACAAGCUAUUAGUCUUCUGAUUGUAACAAAUGUUGGUGCUUACAUCCUUUAUUUCUUCUGUGCAACACUGAGCUAUUAUUUUGUCUUCGAUCAUGCAUUAAUGAAACAUCCACAAUUUUUAAAGGUAAGAAAUUUUUUUACCUAUUUUCUAACAAUUAAAGUAAAAAUAACAAUAUGAUAUAUUUCUGAGAUUUUUAGAUUAAGCUGAUUAUAUGUAACCAUUAAAUAAAAUUUUGGAGACCAACCACAAAUGGGUUAGAUAUUUUCAUGAGGGUUAAUCCCCGCUCUCCUUCCCUUAGUUUAAGCAAAUCUAACUUUUUAAUAAAACUAUAAGUCUAGUAUCGUAUCUUGCUAGAUGCAUAUUGGAGCAUUUUUAUGCUGAUAUUGAUGAGUAAAUAAAUGCAUACAUUUAUGUAAUUAUUUUAAUAUAUGAUUUUCACAAACUGAAAUGUGUUUUUUUUACCAUGUUUUGUUUUUUGGCUAGAUAGGGGAUUCAAACUCAGUAGUUUUAAAGUUGUUUACAAUCAUUUUUAAAUUUCAGUUGUUUGUACUUGUCAGUGACUCCAAGGACUGAACAGCAAAAAGAAAAAAUAGAGAGGAUUGGGGAUGGAAGUUAAUUAGGAAAGAAAUGGUUAUUCCAUAAAUAGAAGUUUAGAAUGCAGAUUUUGGAGGAAGGAAAAAAGGUUUCAGAAUUUGAAAUGCUUAUUGCAUUUUCUCAGUACAAAAGGAAUGAUUUUCUUACAUACCUAUUUUCAUGUAUUUAAAAUUUUAAUAGAAACAGUUUGGAGGUAAGCCCCUUCAUGUAAAGGAGAUUUUAAAAAUCCAGUCCAGAACAGUUUUAUGCUAGUUUUGUUUAACAUGGAUUUUGUGAUUUUUAAGUAUUGGAAAUUUCACUUUCAGAAUCAAGUCCGUCGAGAGAUUAAGUUUACUGUCCAGGCAUUGCCAUGGAUAAGUAUUCUUACUGUUGCACUGUUCUUGCUGGAGAUAAGAGGUUACAGCAAAUUACAUGAUGACCUAGGAGAGUUUCCAUAUGGUAAGUAAAUAACACGAGUGUCAGGAAGAGAGUAGUCUAAGCACAGGUUAGUUUCCUUAAAAAAACAAGUCUGCCCUUUUUUUUUCAUCUUUUAAAAUAAUUACAAAUUAUUCAGUUGUUUUUUAAUGUUCUAUUUUCAUGUGUUCAUGUCUUGCCACAUGUGCAUUUCUUUAGUUUUUCUAUCAAUCUGAAAGUCUGCUGUAGAUGAGAUUGUGUCUGGCGGAAGAUUGGAGUGAUCAGAGAUGGGUCCUUGCAUUUGUUUUCUAUUAAUUAUUGAAUUCAACCUUCUAAAAAAAACUUGAGUAGCUUAUGUCAUUGCUGAAAGUUAAAAACAGAUUUUUAAAAUCCAUUAUUCUGCUUCUUAGAAACUGUAACUCUUCUGGCAUACAACCACCCACUUUUCUGUGCCUGUAUACUUCAUUGUUUACGUUACACAAAUGAAGUCCUGAGGUGCAUAGUGGUUUGGGCUCUGAAUUUUGUUUCUCUUAGCAACUUACAUGGUUGUAUUUUCAUGUCAAAAAAAUCUUGAGAUUAUGUAAUAUAUUAGUCACAGUACUGUGCGGAUAUUCAUAAGUUAUGUAAAUGAUACCUAAUUGUUAGACCUUCGGAUUGUUACUCUUUUUUGUAUUAUAAACAGUCCUGUAGUGAGUAAACUUUUGUGAAAUUCUGAAACUUUUUCAAGAUACAUUUCUAGGAUCUAGUAUGUAAAAAGCAAGAAUCAUAGUAUUUAUUGAAGGCUGAUAUGUGUCAGUGACAGUUCUCAGCUCUUCACAAGAAUCAGUCCAUUGUUUUCCUACAAUUCUAUGAGAUAGGUACUAUCACUGUGCUCCUUUUAUAGGUGAGUCAAUGAGGUGUACAGAGAGUUUCAGUAACGAGUUGGUGGUAGAUCUGAGACUUGGACUGAGGCUUGCAGGCACCAGCACCCCCACACUUUAAGUAAGAAGUUAGUUAUUGCCGGGCGCGGUGGCUCAAUCCUGUAAUCCCAGCACUUUGGGAGACCGAGGUAGGAGGAUCACGAGGUCAGGAGUAUGAGACCAUCCUGGCCAACAUGGUGAAACCCCAUCUCUACUAAAAUACAAAAAAUUAGCGGGGUGUGGUGGUGCACACCUGUAGUCCCAGCUACUCAGGAGGGCGAGGCAGGAGAAUCCCUUGAACCUGGGAGGCAGAGAUUGCGCCACUGCACUCCAGCCUGGGCGACAGAGCGAGACUCUGUCUC
RNAcentral lists this small RNA (2391 nucleotides) under Pan troglodytes (chimpanzee). Its description in RNAcentral is "retained intron". Lineage: Eukaryota; Metazoa; Chordata; Mammalia; Primates; Hominidae. The record is from RNAcentral.